RNAcentral lists this transfer RNA (83 nucleotides) under Alcaligenaceae bacterium. RNAcentral's name for it is "tRNA-Lys". It matches the Rfam family "tRNA". Rfam says of the family: Transfer RNA (tRNA) molecules are approximately 80 nucleotides in length. Their secondary structure includes four short double-helical elements and three loops (D, anti-codon, and T loops). The record is from RNAcentral. Lineage: Bacteria; Pseudomonadati; Pseudomonadota; Betaproteobacteria; Burkholderiales; Alcaligenaceae.
GGGCCAUUAGCUCAGUUGGCAGAGCACCUGACUUUUAAUCAGGGUGAAGCCAAACUGACCGGGGUAAAGACCUGAAUGGCCCU